Molecule: transfer RNA, 73 nt
Filed under: Ramicandelaber brevisporus
Lineage: Eukaryota; Fungi; Kickxellomycota; Ramicandelaberales; Ramicandelaberaceae
Description: tRNA-Gln
Rfam family: tRNA
About the family: Transfer RNA (tRNA) molecules are approximately 80 nucleotides in length. Their secondary structure includes four short double-helical elements and three loops (D, anti-codon, and T loops). Further hydrogen bonds mediate the characteristic L-shaped molecular structure. tRNAs have two regions of fundamental functional importance: the anti-codon, which is responsible for specific mRNA codon recognition, and the 3' end, to which the tRNAs corresponding amino acid is attached (by aminoacyl-tRNA synthetases). tRNAs cope with the degeneracy of the genetic code in two manners: having more than one tRNA (with a specific anti-codon) for a particular amino acid; and 'wobble' base-pairing, i.e. permitting non-standard base-pairing at the 3rd anti-codon position.
Source: RNAcentral
GGCCGAAUAGUGUAGGUGGUUAUCACAUGGGAUUCUGAUUCCCGUGACCCGAGUUCGAAUCUCGGUUUGGCCU